This 397-nucleotide ribosomal RNA is filed under the name uncultured bacterium. Its description in RNAcentral is "partial 16S ribosomal RNA". It matches the Rfam family "Bacterial small subunit ribosomal RNA", at positions 523 to 918 of the family's 1533-position model. The record is from RNAcentral.
AUACGUAGGGGGCGAGCGUUGUCCGGAAUGACUGGGCGUAAAGGGCGUGUAGGCGGCGCUGUAAGUCUGGAGUGAAAGUCCCGCUUUCAAGGUGGGAACUGCUUUGGAAACUGGCGAGCUUGAGUGCAGGAGAGGUUAUCGGAAUUCCCGGUGUAGCGGUGAAAUGCGUAGAGAUCGGGAGGAACACCAGUGGCGAAGGCGGGUAACUGGACUGCAACUGACGCUGAGGCGCGAAAGUGUGGGGAGCAAACAGGAUUAGAUACCCUGGUAGUCCACACUGUAAACGAUGAAUGCUAGGUGUAGGAGGUAUCGACCCCUUCUGUGCCGCAGUAAACACAGUAAGCAUUCCGCCUGGGGAGUACGGUCGCAAGAUUAAAACUCAAAGGAAUUGACGGGG